This is a long non-coding RNA of Carassius gibelio (silver crucian carp), 2580 nucleotides long. RefSeq lists it as uncharacterized. The record is from RefSeq and is a predicted model, not a curated record. The transcript has 8 exons. Lineage: Eukaryota; Metazoa; Chordata; Actinopteri; Cypriniformes; Cyprinidae.
AGACAGCACAUGUACGUCUGGCCGAUGUCGGCCCAAUAUCGAAACGUCGGCCUCUAUACCUAAAACAUCUAUAAAACAUCGGCCUGGCGGAGGCCGAUAUCAUUUGGUCAGUGCUCUGUUCUCCAGCUCAUCAGUCGUCGGCCCUGAGUUGGUUCACGACCGCGGGCCGAUGCCGCGCUUAUCUGUGUGCGCGUGCCCAGUAUUCGUCUCUUUUAGCCACCCAGAGAGAGAAGAGGAUAAUCCCAGCGACAUCUGUGACUCUGAGGUAACGUUACGAUUUCACUUCAGCUCAAUUAGACAAAAAAUACUACUUUGUUAAUUCUGUGACACUGAAAAGGUACUGCGUUUAUACAGUCUAUGGGCAGCUAAAGAGUCUGGCUCAUUUUCAGCGAUUUUUUAACAUUAAUGUUAACGCCUUAAUGCGUUUUCAGAAGUUUCUCGGAGGGAAAAUGUAAAAGCGGAUUAUUAAAGAGAAGUCCUGACUGCUUUUUCACCGUAUUUUUCACUCUUUUACAGGCUUCCAGAAAUAAUCCGGUGAAAUAAUAUGGUGAGCUAUUGUUGCUGUUGCUUCUGAACUACAAAAUGAUUUUUAAAUGUAUUAUUGAAUGAGACUGUACAUUAUAAAUGUAAUGCUUUAACUCUAGAUGUUUGUUUGUGUGAAUGCUGUGUGUGCGGUGAGUCCUGCGCUAGCGGGGAGCAGAGUUGCCAUGGAAACGGGGCGUCAACACAAAAACCGUUACUGGCAAACAGUAAUCUCCGUCUCUCGCUGCGGUUUACACUGUUUUAGGUAAGUUUAGUGUCUAAAAUCACACAAAUAUUACAUACAAAUGUUCCUGACGCGUUUCUUACUUGUUAUUGACAUGUUUCAAUUAAAUCUAUUUUAUAGAAACGGUUUAGUGUCUUCGGAAAAGUCCGUUAUCAUUUUAGCAGUUUUCAGAUGUUUGUUUGUGUAAAUGCUGUGUGUGCGGUGAGUUCUGCGCGAGGAGCAGAGUUGCCAUGGAAACGGGGCGUCAACACAAAAACCGUUACUGGCAAACAGUAAUCUCCUUCUCUCGCUGCGGUUUACACUGUUUUAGAAACGGUUUAUUUUCUUCGGAAAAGUCCGUUAGCAUUUUAGCAGUUUUCAGGAGGACAGAAAGAAACUCCACAGAACAGAAGUGAAGCUCCAAGAUUUCAACAUUUAUGAAGGGAGAUACUGACUUAGAAAUACAGGUGAACUGAAGAAGCUCAUGAAAUACAUGAAUAUGCCUUUUUCAGAAUACAUUUCACCAAUUUUAAGAAGUCCCUGACAUCAUGACCUUGUUUCCUUCUAAUGAACCUGGAACUGCAGAGUAAAUAUUGUUGACUCUGUGUCAGAUGGCUUGUUUUGUUCCUGGACUCUUCAGUGAUGACGAUCAGAGUCUGAGUGAACCUGCUGUCAGACAGGUUGGCCUGAUUGACGAUGCCAUCGUCCAUCGCCGAUGGCUGAUAGACAUCACGAUGCUGCGCCGGCAAACAGCGUCAUCAGCUCCAGUAUCUCGCCCGUGCAUCUGUUGUCAUGCGACAGAGAAGUCACGUUCUAUAGAGAGUUUCUACAGACAGUUGUGAACGUGCUGACAGCUGGUUGCCCAGGCUAUGGAUUAAAGGUAAUACUGUUGGCCAGCAGAGCCCUGCUCACCCUGACGGCCCACCGCUGCUGUCAGACAACAUCUCAAAGAUGCUAUAAACUGCAGGACUAGAUGGCCAUCCCAAGGUUUCUAGAGAUUACAGCAGCUCCAGACUGAAUCCAAACUCACUUGUGAAGACUUCAGAUGACACCAACGCUCACAAAGACUACAGACGACAACUGUACAUGAACACACAAAACAUUGGACACACAAAACAAAUAUUAUCCUUAUUUUGCCUAUAAGGGUAAAUUUGAUGAUUUUCAAACUGCUUUAUUGUAACGUCUCUUAUAUCUGUAAAUGAACAAUAUUUACUCUCUGAGUUAUGUAGACCUACAUGUCCCCUUUUAUUUGUAAGCAUCACUUUAAAAAUGUUGAAAGAUAAUGUUAAUGUUAACUGAAUACAAAACUAGAGACUUGUUUAGUAAGAUUUUAUCAGAAAAUAUUUUUGAACUUUUAUCAUGCAAUUUAAAACAUUUUAAUUGCUUAAUUAUAUUGUUUACCUGGUUUUAUUUUGUGUUUAUGUAACUUUUUAAAAAGUUCUUGGCAUAAAGUUUGCAUGCGAUGCUGACAGCACUGAACACAUGACUUUUUAUUAUGAACUAGAUGGUCUUCCCAGUGAGUCUCAGUCAUCUCUGGCUUUUUAAACUGUAACCUUGAAACAUGCAUUUCCUGUAAACCUACUUUGAAAUAAGUAUUGUGAAAAAAGUGCUAUACUCAUACAACAUUUAACCAUGCAAGUACUGUAGUAAUGGUUAUUUUUGUUUUUACUAUGGUUUUACUGCAAAAGUUGUAGUAAAAUCAUGGUUAAUGUUCAAAAGACUACAAAUAAUCCCGAAUUAUCCACUUUUGAUCAAAGCAUCUGGUAAAUGUUAUUGUAUUUGUACAUGUAAUAUGAAAUAAAUGAAAAUAUUAAUAAAGUUGCGUCUGUUCUUGA